Oreochromis niloticus (Nile tilapia) is the source of this 351-nucleotide long non-coding RNA. RefSeq lists it as uncharacterized. Lineage: Eukaryota; Metazoa; Chordata; Actinopteri; Cichliformes; Cichlidae. The transcript is spliced from 2 exons. The record is from RefSeq and is a predicted model, not a curated record.
CAGCGAGUCCAGCAGCUGCAGCCACUCCUGCAGGCUCCAGGUGGCGCUGUAAUCCCCCCUGUGAGGAGGCUCCUGCCCACACAGACUAUCCACCACCCUGUGGCACAGCUAAACACAAGGAAAUACUGGUUUGCCACAGGAGAUCAUCUGCCUCGGUUUCACCCCAUCCCUAACCUAACCUCUUCCUCUUAGGUCUUUCUGUUUUCCUCUUUGGUAGUGUGUCAUCAGUCACAGUAAGUAAAAGAAGGAAAUGCCCUUCAUUUUCUUUGCACUAAUAAACACUGCCAUCUGUAAGCUGCAAUCACCAAUGAUUUUUAUUUUUUUUAUACUCAGACAUAUCAUUAUUGCAAA